UACGUAGGGGGCGAGCGUUGUCCGGAUUUAUUGGGCGUAAAGAGCUCGUAGGCGGUUUGGCAAGUCGGGUGUGAAAACUCCGGGCUCAACUCGGAGACGCCACUCGAUACUGCCAUGACUCGAGUCCGGUAGGGGAGUGCGGAAUUCCUGGUGUAGCGGUGAAAUGCGCAGAUAUCAGGAAGAACACCCGUGGCGAAGGCGGUUCUCUGGGACGGUACUGACGCUGAGACGCGAAAGCGUGGGGAGCGAACAGG
RNAcentral lists this ribosomal RNA (254 nucleotides) under uncultured bacterium. RNAcentral describes it as "partial 16S ribosomal RNA". It matches the Rfam family "Bacterial small subunit ribosomal RNA", at positions 524 to 776 of the family's 1533-position model. The record is from RNAcentral.